UACAGAGGUCUCAAGCGUUGUUCGGAUUCAUUGGGCGUAAAGGGUGUGUAGGUGGCGCCGUAAGUCGGGUGUGAAAGUCCAGGGCUCAACCCUGGGAUGCCGGUGGAUACUGUCGGACUAGAGUACGGAAGAGGCGAGUGGAAUUCCCGGUGUAGCGGUGAAAUGCGCAGAUAUCGGGAGGAACACCAAUUGCGAAGGCGGCUCACUGGUCCGGUACUGACGCUGAGGUGCGAAAGCGUGGGGAGCAAACAGG
Molecule: ribosomal RNA, 253 nt
Filed under: uncultured bacterium
Lineage: Bacteria
Description: partial 16S ribosomal RNA
Rfam family: Bacterial small subunit ribosomal RNA
Source: RNAcentral